UACUGCUGUGUAACGAAUUACCCGCCACAUCAGGGGCCUAAAACAGUAAGCGUGAGUAUCUCAGUGUUUCUGUAGGUCAGGCGUUUGGUUCAGGGUCUCCCACGAGGAUGCACUCUAUGUGUCAGCGGGUGCUGCAGGCACCUGAGGCUUGAUGUGGGCUAGAAGGUACACUUGGAAGUUCACUGCCAUGGCUGUUGGCUGGAGGCCUCAGUUCCUUACCAUGAGGGCUUCUCCAGAAGGCUGUUCACAGCAUGGCAGCUGGCUUCCCCCAGAAUGAGUGGUCCAGACAGAAAGACUUUGAGAGUUACCAUGAUGCCCUUUAUGACCUAGUCUCCCCCCUUAUUCUGUUUGUAAGAAGCAAGUCACCAAGUCUAGCCCUCACUGAAAGACAGGAUUUCACUAGGCUGUGAAUUCUGGAAGCUGGGGAUCAUGAGGGGCCAUCCUGGAGGUCAGUUACCACUGCUGGAUUCUAAGAAAACAAUGAAUUCAAUCAAUAGCUAUUGAGUUCCUUCUAUGUACGAGACCCUGUGCUGGGUGCUAGGGCUACAACAGUCAGUGGAGAGCAAGAGAGAAAACAAGUCAUAGGUGGAGAUAGAAAACCUGCUUUCCAAGCCUGAAAGAUGCCCUUCUAAUCACUACAUAAUGGGGGAUUCCAUUGUGCCUGAUCGACUUCUUUCUUCCUGGGGAAUCUUUAUUGAAUUGCAACGCACUCGAUAUUAUUAAGAAUUCCAAUCAGAGUGUUUCAACACUAAUUGCAAAACAGUUUUUACCAGUGGUAAUGAGACCCGGACCUUUGCAGACCUCCAGAUGUAGCUCCUCAUGUAGAUAAGGCAGCCCCUUAACAAGCCUCCAUAUCUGGAUCAAGGCCAUAGUCUGCUUCUCUUUCUUUGGCUCAUCUGGCCUUCUAGAGGCUAAACCAGCUCACUAAAUAAAUCAGGGAGUUCAGGGUGAUGGCUUAAGUCUGCCGCGUGUCUAAACUCAGCUGACUCUAAUGAAAUGGAUAUGCUGUUCUCGGCUUCUUCAAGAUACUUCCUGACUUCACAUGAAUCAAGAUGGAACAUCUGUAUCUGAGAGUACCAAUUCCACCUGGUACCACAGCAGGACUGAAUCGAAACUGGACCCUGUCCCCCAGUUAACCCCACUUCGUUGGUAUGAACUAAAGUUGGUACGAAUUAAGCUUGUCCUCAAGAUUUCAAGAAUCAGGCAUGACUCGAGUCUCCUCUCCCUUCCGUGAAUUUUCAUGCUGCACUUGGGAUAAAGAGCACUCCCUGAGUUCUGCGUGCAUUGGAACCACAAAAUGUCGAAGAAAGAAGAUGAGCUUUUGUAUUAAUGGGGUUGGUUCAACUGCUGCUUACUCUUAUUUCAUUUAGCAAGGGAGGAACUAAGUCCUGUCUUUUCUCUCCCGUAGCCCCAAUUUUCCACUCAGCUGUUUCUAUGAUUACAAAUACCUUUUACUCUUUUUUCAUUACCGACUCACCUACCCAUCGAAAUGGUACCUAUUUCAUCUUCCUGUCUUGUCUCUUCCUGUAUGCCCCUUUCCAGAGACUUAAUUCAGAGACUGUUGCUAGGCAACUAUACAUCAUAACAGCCAGUCACCAAUAACUAAUUGCCCUCAGCACUUUCGCCUGACAAAUCUGGACUGCCUAUGACAAUGGCAAGUAGUUCCAAUGGCCAAAAACAUACCAACAGGUUUUCUUAGCUCAGCGAAGGCAAAAACAUGAAAAAUAAGGUACCACCAUCACGGCAGAAACGAAAACUUCCGGUCUCUUAUACCCAACAAAGCACAAGGCUAUAAAGUCAUCAGCUUGGCACUGCUCUCCAAUCCUGCUCAGGUAUCAAAUCAGAGGUACGGUUGGAAGCGUCUGAACACACACACUGAUGGAAGAGUGAACACUAGUGUUUCACGUUCACUCAUCUUCUUCCCUACUGGCCCCACCCCAUUUCUACAGUUUCUAGUUGAAUUGAGGGUCUAUGAGUAAUCAAAUUUCAGCCUCAAUUUUAUGGUGAGUGUAAUGGAGUUAAUUUCUUUAAUGCUAGCAGUUCAUGGAAGGGGUCUCUUGUGGCCGCACAGACCUGGGAUUCGCAGCAGCUGUCAAGAGAUGCCGCUGAGGAAUUCCUUAUUAGCUAAGAUGCAACCAGGCAGAAAACUCAUUACACAGUGCUAAAUAUACUUAAUCACAUCUAUUAGAGAAAAAUGAACUUGAUAAUUACAACAAAUAACUAAACUGCAGAAAGUGUUCAAGGAAAAAAGAAAAAAAACAAAACAAAACAAAACCCAAGAAGAACCCACACCAGGAUUUAAGAACACAGGGAGUGUGAGCCGCCCAAGACUAAAGGGAAGCCAGCAUUGCGCAGCUUUAGGCUGAAGGAGAAACCCUGGUCUCAAGGUGGCAGAUCAGCCGGCAAUGGUAGCUGAGCGUUUGUUCCCCCCCAGCCCCAGCCCCACUCUCUGAGUGACCACACACAUGUGCCCAUAAACACCAGCCUGCAUCAGGGGUGUAAACAGGCAGCAGCUUCUUUCUGCACAAGGCCUCCUAGUUCCCAGUGUCUCUCAUCCCUUGGCUGAUUGGCACCAUUCAAUUUUGUUUUUUUUAAAUAAAAGAUUUACCAAAGUGACAAUACUUGUGGAAAUCAACUGCUGACAGACUUGCAGAGUUAAGUACAUAAUUAAGGCUGUGGAAAUACAGAUGUUGAACAAUGGCGGCUUACAUCAAGAUGUAUGUGGGGAUCCCAAAUAACCCGGCAUCUGGUUUCUUUAUCUAAGUACCUUUCUUACGGUUUGGAUCUUAAUUUUUUACAGUUGACAGCAGUGUUAUUUGAGCCACUCAGUGGCAUCUGGCUGCUAGGGGAGAGCAAAAAAAAAAAAAAAAGAAAGCAAGGAAGAAGGGGGGAAAAAAAUCUCCAUGCACUUUAAUUAAUUGUGGAGAAAUUACAUGGUCCUUCAACCGUGUAGUUUGUCAUCAGCACACAUUACAGAUUUAUAUUAGAUGUUUCUCCACAGUGUCAGGAAUAAUUAAAAGGGGGUAGGAAAUGAUGCCAACCAGCAAUGCUUUACAUCAGUGGUGAAAGUUUUAUAUUUAUUACAGCCAAACAAUUUUAGAAGAAGAUGUCAACUCAGAGGCUUGACUGUGCGUGGAAUACAUAUCAGGCUGGAGGGGAAGCCAAGGCUGCAAGAAUAAUGGGAGAGCGCUCAUGUUUAAUCUGUCAGGCCAACCAGAAUUGGUGUGGCAUGCCAGAGUUAUUAAGGACAUGGCAUCCCCUUUCUCAAUCCUAAAAACACUCACCCCAAACAAUAAGUAACAUAUGCCCUUUUUUCCCUCUGAAACGGUCUGCAUCCAAACAUCCUUUCUGAUCCUAAUAAGGACAGAAAGGCCAACUGAAUGCAGGUCACUUUUCUUGCUCAAUUAAUUCGUGUUGCACUUUUGGCUUGGGAAGCACUGGUAGAAUUACUUAGUAAAAAGAUAUCAAAAUGACGUCUGCCUUCAUUGAGUACACGAUUAUAGCAUCCCUGCCAGGGCUUUCCAUGGAGGGGGCCAGGCCCAGACAACAGCCAGCACGAAUGGGGAUCCUGUAUCUUAGCUUCCUUAUUCCUGGUGCCAUGGAACAAACCUGGGCCAUACUCCUUUACCUUUUCUAGAGAUCACGGCCACGGACUACACUUAGAAACCAAAGGUCACAAAAAAAAGCUCUUAGAAACGGCCCACGUCAAAGGGCGUGAUCCUCCUCAGGACAUAAAUCUUCUGGUUAAUUCUUUCGAAGGACCAGACUUCCUUUUGUAUCAGGAGUUCAUCAGGCAGCACAUUACCGGGCGAUGAUUAGACGCCCUCAGUCUUCAUGAUGGGUCUUGCAGGAGAGUCAAAUAAUCCCCUAAUAUGCAAUGCCUGUCACUUCUUAUUUAUUAGCUUCUUGCCCUGGAUAUUUUCAUAAUUUCCAUUUAGCUCAUGUGGCCCCAGAAGUGGGGACUUUCUGGGAAUCACAGCCUCAGGACAUCUUCACCUUUGCUCACGGGGACUCAGGGGAGAGCACUGAGCCAAACCAGGAUCCUCUCCUCAUUGUCUGUGGGUUUACAUGGUGGGAAACCUCCUCCCUGAAGCCCUCACGAUGUAUGGAAAAUGGCAACAGAG
Molecule: long non-coding RNA, 4124 nt
Organism: Odocoileus virginianus texanus
Lineage: Eukaryota; Metazoa; Chordata; Mammalia; Artiodactyla; Cervidae
Source: RefSeq, a predicted model, not a curated record